GAUGAACGCUAGCUACAGGCUUAACACAUGCAAGUCGCGGGGCAGCAUGGGGGUUGCUUGCAACCCCUGAUGGCGACCGGCGCACGGGUGAGUAACGCGUAUCCAACCUGCCCCUCACCACGGGAUAACCCGGCGAAAGUCGGACUAAUACCGUAUGUUGUCCAUUGACGGCAUCCGAUUUGGACGAAAGGCUUGGCGGUGAGGGAUGGGGAUGCGUCCGAUUAGCUCGACGGCGGGGUAACGGCCCACCGUGGCGACGAUCGGUAGGGGUUCUGAGAGGAAGGUCCCCCACACUGGAACUGAGACACGGUCCAGACUCCUACGGGAGGCAGCAGUGAGGAAUAUUGGUCAAUGGGCGGAAGCCUGAACCAGCCAAGUAGCGUGCAGGAUGACGGCCCUAUGGGUUGUAAACUGCUUUUAUGCGGGGAUAAAGUGGCCCACGUGUGGGUUUUUGCAGGUACCGCAUGAAUAAGGACCGGCUAAUUCCGUGCCAGCAGCCGCGGUAAUACGGAAGGUCCGGGCGUUAUCCGGAUUUAUUGGGUUUAAAGGGAGCGUAGGCCGCCCCUUAAGCGUGUUGUGAAAUGCGGGUGCUCAACAUCCGACUUGCAGCGCGAACUGGGGGGCUUGAGUGCGCCGAAAGUAGGCGGAAUUCGUGGUGUAGCGGUGAAAUGCUUAGAUAUCACGAAGAACUCCGAUUGCGAAGGCAGCUUACUGUAGCGCAACUGACGCUGAUGCUCGAAAGCGUGGGUAUCGAACAGG
RNAcentral lists this ribosomal RNA (759 nucleotides) under uncultured Prevotella sp. RNAcentral's name for it is "bacterial SSU rRNA". It matches the Rfam family "Bacterial small subunit ribosomal RNA", at positions 28 to 776 of the family's 1533-position model. Lineage: Bacteria; Pseudomonadati; Bacteroidota; Bacteroidia; Bacteroidales; Prevotellaceae. The record is from RNAcentral.